CAAAACCGGAGGAAGGUGGGGAAGACGUCAGGUCCUCAUGGCCAUUAUAGGUAGGGCUACACACGUCAUACAAUGGCCGGUACAGAGGGCUGCCAACCCGCGAGGGGGAGCCAAUCCCAGAAAACCGGUCGUAGUCCGGAUCGUAGUCUGCAACUCGACUGCGUGAAGUCGGAAUCGCUAGUAAUCGCGGAUCAGCUUGCCGCGGUGAAUACGUUCCCGGGUCUUGUACACACCGCCCGUCACACCAUGGGAGCGGGUUCUGCCAGAAGUAGUUAGCCUAACCGCAAGGGGGGCGAUUACCACGGCAGGGUUCGUGACUGGGGUGAAGUCGUAACAAGGUAACCA
Molecule: ribosomal RNA, 345 nt
Filed under: uncultured bacterium
Lineage: Bacteria
Description: bacterial SSU rRNA
Rfam family: Bacterial small subunit ribosomal RNA
Source: RNAcentral